GCAAGUCGAGCGGUAACAGAGAUAGCUUGCUAUCUGCUGACGAGCGGCGGACGGGUGAGUAAUGCUUGGGAAUAUGCCUUUGAGUGGGGGACAACAGUUGGAAACGACUGCUAAUACCGCAUAACGUCUACGGACCAAAGGGGGGGAUCUUCGGACCUCUCGCGCUAAGAUUAGCCCAGGUGAGAUUAGCUAGUUGGUAAGGUAAUGGCUUACCAAGGCGACGAUCUCUAGCUGGUUUGAGAGGAUGAUC
This 250-nucleotide ribosomal RNA is filed under the name uncultured bacterium. RNAcentral describes it as "partial 16S ribosomal RNA". It matches the Rfam family "Bacterial small subunit ribosomal RNA", at positions 57 to 305 of the family's 1533-position model. The record is from RNAcentral.